GAUUAACGCUGGCGGCAUGCCUAAUACAUGCAAGUCGAACGGGGUAGUUUACUACCUAGUGGCGAACGGGUGAGUAACACGUAUCUAACCUACCAUUUAGUGGGGAAUAACUGUUGGAAACGACAGCUAAUACCGCAUAUGUUAUUAAUAUGAUUUAUUUAAUAAUGAAAGGAGCUUUCAAGCUUCGCUAAUUGAUGGGGAUGCGGCGCAUUAGCUAGUUGGUAAGGUAAUGGCUUACCAAGGCAAUGAUGCGUAGCCGAUCUGAGAGGAUGAACGGCCACAUUGGGACUAGACACGGCCCAAACUUCUACGGAAGGCAGCAGUAGGGAAUUUUUCACAAUGGGCGAAAGCCUGAUGGAGCAAUGCCGCGUGACUGAUGAAGGUCUUCGGAUUGUA
This 396-nucleotide ribosomal RNA is filed under the name Spiroplasma endosymbiont of Hypoaspis miles. Its description in RNAcentral is "bacterial SSU rRNA". It matches the Rfam family "Bacterial small subunit ribosomal RNA", at positions 28 to 427 of the family's 1533-position model. The record is from RNAcentral. Lineage: Bacteria; Bacillati; Mycoplasmatota; Mollicutes; Entomoplasmatales; Spiroplasmataceae.